This 2184-nucleotide ribosomal RNA is filed under the name metagenome. RNAcentral's name for it is "bacterial LSU rRNA". It matches the Rfam family "Bacterial large subunit ribosomal RNA", at positions 703 to 2925 of the family's 2925-position model. The record is from RNAcentral.
GUGGUUGUAGACGCGAAACCUUGCGAUCUACCCUUGAGCAGGUUGAAGGUUGGGUAAAACCAACUGGAGGACCGAACGAAUAAGCGUUGAAAAGCUUCUCGAUGACUUGAGGGUAGGGGUGAAAGGCUAAUCAAGCUGGGAAAUAGCUCGUACUCCCCGAAAUGCCUUUUGGGGCAGCGUUGUAAUAAAGAGUCUACUGGAGGUAGAGCUACUGAUUGGAUGCGGGGGCUUCACCGCCUACCAAAUCCUGACAAACUCCGAAUGCCAGUAGUAUGAUUUACAGCAGUGAGUGACUGGGUGCUAAUGUCCAGUCGCAAAAGAGGAACAACUCAGACCAGCAACUAAGGUCCCGAAGAAUAUGCUAAGUUGAUCUAACGAUGUUUUGUUGCAGAGACAGCUAGGAUGUUAGCUUGGAAGCAGCUAUUCAUUCAAAGAGUGCGUAACAGCUCACUAGUCGAGCGACAGAGCGUGGAUAAUAAACGGGCAUCAAGCAUAUCACCGAAGUUCUGGGCGCGAGAGCGCGGUAGGGGAGCAUUCCAUUCAGCGUCGAAGCAGUUUCGUGAGGAAUUGUGGAGCGUAUGGAAAAGCAAAUGUAGGCAUGAGUAACGAUAAUGCGGGAGAGUAACCCGCACACCGCAAGACCAAGGUUUCCUGAUCAACGCUAAUCGGAUCAGGGUUAGUCGGGUCCUAAGGGUAAGCCGAACGGCGAUCUCGAUGGAUAAUCGGUUAAUAUUCCGAUACUAACAUAUACCUCGAUGGAGAGACGAAGGAACGUAAGUGCCGCCACCUGACGGAAUAGGUGGUUAAAGGGCGUAGGUAUAGGGGCAGAUUAAGAGUUAGUCCUUGCUGAAACCUGACAGUACAGAGAGCCUACGGGCAAUUUGAUAGAGCACCCAAGUCGACUUCCGAGAAAAUCUUCUAAGUUAUAGUAUAUGUUACCCGUACCGUAAACCGACACAGGUGGUCGAGGAGAGUAUCCUAAGGUGCUCGAGUGAAUCACGGUUAAGGAACUAGGCAAAUUAACCCCGUAACUUCGGGAAAAGGGGUCCCUAUGAAAGUAGGGCGCAGCGAAGAGGUCCAGGCGACUGUUUAUCAAAAACACAGGGCUCUGCAAAUUCGAAAGAAGACGUAUAGGGCCUGACACCUGCCCGGUGCUGGAAGGUUAAGAGGGGAUGUCAUCGCAAGAGAAGCAUUGAAUCGAAGCCCCAGUAAACGGCGGCCGUAACUAUAACGGUCCUAAGGUAGCGAAAUUCCUUGUCGGGUAAGUUCCGACCUGCACGAAUGGUGUAACGAUCUGGACACUGUCUCAACCGUGAGCUCGGUGAAAUUGUAGUCCCGGUGAUGAUGCCGGGUACCCGCAACGGGACGAAAAGACCCCGUGAACCUUUACUAUAGCUUAACGCUGAAUUUGGGUACACAAUGUGUAGGAUAGGCCGGAGGCUUUGAAGCGGGCACGCCAGUGUUCGUGGAGCCGACGUUGAAAUACGGCCCUUUGUGUAUUUGAGUUCUAACCCUGCGAAGGGGACACCGUUUGGUGGGUAGUUUGACUGGGGUGGUCGCCUCCAAAAGCGUAACGGAGGCUUCCCAAGGUACCCUCAGCACGAAUGGUAACCGUGCGCGGAGUGCAAUAGCAUAAGGGUGCUUGACUGUGAGACAUACAAGUCGACCAGGUACGAAAGUAGGGUAUAGUGAUCCGGUGGUUCUGCGUGGACUGGCCAUCGCUCAAAGGAUAAAAGGUACUCCGGGGAUAACAGGCUGAUCGCCGCCAAGAGCUCAUAUCGACGCGGCGGUUUGGCACCUCGAUGUCGGCUCGUCACAUCCUGGGGCUGGAGAAGGUCCCAAGGGUUCGGCUGUUCGCCGAUUAAAGUGGCACGCGAGCUGGGUUCAGAACGUCGUGAGACAGUUCGGUCUCUAUCUGUUGCGGGCGUAGGAAGAUUGAGGGGUCCUGACUUUAGUACGAGAGGACCGAGUUGGACGAACCUCCGGUGUAUCGGUUAUGCUGCCAAGUGUACUGCCGAGUAGCCGCGUUCGGUCUGGAUAAGCGCUGAAAGCAUCUAAGCGCGAAGCCAUCCCCAAGAUAAGUCUUCCCUUGAGGGGCGUAGGAGACUACUACGUUGAUAGGCUGCAGGUGUAAAGACAGCAAUGUCAAAGCCGAGCAGUACUAAUUACCCGAUAGGCUUUCUU